GUGUUGUAUGAAACAAGAGGCGGACUAGCACUCCCCUUGGCAGGAUGGAAGAGGCCCUCAGGCCUGACAACAUGCAUACCGUUAAGGCAUUGCCUCCUGCUUCAUGGUAUCUCACCAUCAUUUUUA
This 126-nucleotide non-coding RNA is filed under the name Sciurus vulgaris (Eurasian red squirrel). The record is from RNAcentral. Lineage: Eukaryota; Metazoa; Chordata; Mammalia; Rodentia; Sciuridae.